RNAcentral lists this ribosomal RNA (1523 nucleotides) under Candidatus Azobacteroides pseudotrichonymphae genomovar. CFP2. Its description in RNAcentral is "16S ribosomal RNA". It matches the Rfam family "Bacterial small subunit ribosomal RNA". The record is from RNAcentral. Lineage: Bacteria; Pseudomonadati; Bacteroidota; Bacteroidia; Bacteroidales.
ACAAAGAAGAGUUUGAUCCUGGCUCAGGAUGAACGCUAGCGAUAGGCUUAACACAUGCAAGUCGAGGGGUAACAGAUCUUCGGAUGCUGACGACCGGCGAACGGGUGAGUAACACGUAUGCAACUUACCCAUAACUCGGGAAUAGCCCAAAGAAAUUUGGAUUAAUACCCAAUAAUACAGGCGUACCGCAUGGUAUUCUUCGUUAAAGAAUAAUCGGUUAUGGAUAGGCAUGCGUUCUAUUAGGUAGUUGGUGAGGUAACGGCUCACCAAGCCGACGAUGGAUAGGGGAACUGAGAGGUUGUCCCCCCACACUGGUACUGAGACACGGACCAGACUCCUACGGGAGGCAGCAGUGAGGAAUAUUGGUCAAUGGACGAAAGUCUGAACCAGCCAAAUCGCGUGAAGGAAGAAGGUAUUAUGUAUCGUAAACUUCUUUUGUAAGAGAGUAAAGUGCACUACGUGUAGUGUAUUGCAAGUACCUUACGAAUAAGCAUCGGCUAAUUCCGUGCCAGCAGCCGCGGUAAUACGGAAGAUGCAAGUGUUAUCCGGAUUUAUUGGGUUUAAAGGGUGCGUAGGUGGUCUAAUAAGUCAGUGGUGAAAUCUCUUUGCUUAACAAGGAAAUUGCCAUUGAAACUGUUAGACUUGAGAAUGGACGAGGUAGGCGGAAUUCGUAGUGUAGCGGUGAAAUGCAUAGAUAUUACGAAGAACUCCAAUAGUGUAGACUGCUUACCAGACCAUAUCUGACACUAAGGCACGAAAGUGUGGGUAUCAAACAGGAUUAGAUACCCUGGUAGUCCACACAGUAAACGAUGAAUACUAACUGUUUGCGAUAUACAGCAAGUGGUCGAGCGAAAGCGUUAAGUAUUCCACCUGGGAAGUAUGCCGGCAACGGUGAAACUCAAAGGAAUUGACGGGGGCCCGCACAAGCGGAGGAACAUGUGGUUUAAUUCGAUAAUACGCGAGGAACCUUACCCGGGCUCGAACGAUAUUUGAAUACAUCCGAAAAGAUGUAGCUAGCAAUAGCAAAUACCGAGGUGCUGCAUGGUUGUCGUCAGCUCGUGCCGUGAGGUGUCGACUUAAGUGUCAUAACGAGCGCAACCCUUACCGAUAGUUACCAUCAGAUAAUGCUGGGGACUCUAUUGGGACUGCCACCGUAAGGUGUGAGGAAGGAGAGGAUGACGUCAAAUCAGCACGGCCCUUAUGUCCGGGGCGACACACGUGUUACAAUGGGAGAAACAAAGGGUCGCUACCUGGCAACAGGAUGCUAAUCUCGAAAAUCUCUCUCAGUUCGGAUUGGAGUCUGCAACUCGACUCCAUGAAGCUGGAUUCGCUAGUAAUCGCACAUCAGCCAUGGUGCGGUGAAUACGUUCCCGGGCCUUGUACACACCGCCCGUCAAGCCAUGGAAGCUGGAAGUACCUGAAGUAUGUAACUGAAAAGAGCGUCCUAAGGUAAAAUCAGUAACUGGGGCUAAGUCGUAACAAGGUAGCCGUACCGGAAGGUGUGGCUGGAACACCUCCUUUCU